GAGCUGUGAGGAAAUGCGAUUGCGAUUGUUAGGCCAAUCACCUUCAACUGACCUUCAGAUGAAAUCGCGCAUGCUGAGCUC
Non-coding RNA from Punica granatum (pomegranate), 81 nucleotides. The record is from Rfam. Lineage: Eukaryota; Viridiplantae; Streptophyta; Magnoliopsida; Myrtales; Lythraceae.